CCUACGGGAGGCAGCAGUGAGGAAUAUUGGUCAAUGGGCGGGAGCCUGAACCAGCCAAGUCGCGUGAAGGAAGAAGGUACUUAGGAUUGUAAACUUCUUUUGUCGGGGAACAAAGGCGGAGACGCGUCUCCGGAUGAGUGUACCCGAAGAAAAAGCAUCGGCUAACUCCGUGCCAGCAGCCGCGGUAAUACGGAGGAUGCGAGCGUUAUCCGGAUUUAUUGGGUUUAAAGGGUGCGCAGGCGGGAGAUCAAGUCAGCGGUAAAAUGUCGGGGCUCAACCCCGGCCGGCCGUUGAAACUGGUUUUCUAGAUUUGGCUCGCAGUAUGCGGCAUUCGUGGUGUAGCGGUGACAUGCAUCGCUAUCAC
This 364-nucleotide ribosomal RNA is filed under the name uncultured bacterium. RNAcentral's name for it is "partial 16S ribosomal RNA". It matches the Rfam family "Bacterial small subunit ribosomal RNA", at positions 338 to 700 of the family's 1533-position model. The record is from RNAcentral.